Molecule: long non-coding RNA, 753 nt
Filed under: Physcomitrium patens
Lineage: Eukaryota; Viridiplantae; Streptophyta; Bryopsida; Funariales; Funariaceae
Description: long non-coding RNA (PPAT_LNC000792)
Source: RNAcentral
UCAUUCAUUAGUUAUUGAGGUUUAAUUUUGUUAUAGAAAUUACUAGGAUUUGGUUAGGAUUUGGUUUAGGAUUUAGGACUAGGGUUAGAAUUUGGUUAGGAUUUGAUUUAGAGUUAGAGUUUAGUUAGGAUUUGGUUAGGGUUUGAUUUAGGAUUAGGAUUUGGUUUAGGGUUUAGGAUUUGAUUUAGGAUUUAGUUAGGAUUUGAUUCAAGAUUAGGAUUUGAUUAGGAUUUGAUUUAAGAUUAGGAUUUAGGAUUUGGUUAGGAUUUGAUUUAGAAUUACGGUUUGAUUUAGGAUUUAGGAUUUUCUUAGGGUUUAAGAUUUGGUUAGGAUUUGAUCAGGAUUUGAUUCAGGAUUUAGGAUUUUAUUUGAGUUUAUUUAGGAUUUAAGAUUUAGUUAGUUUUUGGCCUAAAGUUUGAAUGAAAUAAGAUUUCAACUAGGAUUAAAUUAAGAUUGAAUUGAGAUGUAUUUGAAAUAUGUUUGUAAUCAUUCUAAUAUUUCUUUAAGUUUUCUUAUUGUUUCUUUGGAAUUCCUUUGAAGUUUAUCUGAAUUUGAUUAAAUCUUAUUUAGCAUUAUUAGUAUUCUAUUAAAAUUAGGAUUUUGUUGUUACAAUUUCUAUUCUACCUUCUACAGUCAGGUGCCCAGAGCAUUCUCAAGCAAGACUUCACGUAUUACGACAACGUGUGCCACAUAAUUAGCUUGCUCUUCAAGCUACCUACACGUGUAACAUGUAGCUAACUUGUUGAGCAAGUU